GCUGGGGGCAGUGGCGCAUGCCUGUAAUCCUAGUGCCUCAGGAGGCUGAGGCAGGAGGAUCCUGAGUUCAAAGCCAGCUUCAGCAAGGCACUAAGCAACUCAGUGAGACCCUGUCUCUA
Molecule: small RNA, 119 nt
Filed under: Marmota monax (woodchuck)
Lineage: Eukaryota; Metazoa; Chordata; Mammalia; Rodentia; Sciuridae
Source: RNAcentral